RNAcentral lists this long non-coding RNA (325 nucleotides) under Androctonus crassicauda. Lineage: Eukaryota; Metazoa; Arthropoda; Arachnida; Scorpiones; Buthidae. The record is from RNAcentral.
CUUUAUUGGGGGAGGACGGUGUGGUGGCCUCCUGCAGGCCUUUGUUGGGCAGUCGGGCUCGGAGGUUCUGCGGUCGGGCCCGGCUGGCGCUGUGGGUGCUGGGGUCAGUAUGAUGUUGCACUCUGAGCAUUUUCCUGCUGUUUGGAGGGUCAAGCGUGUGAGCGGUUUCUAUGCGCCCAGGCUUUUCGGGUGCGUGGGGGCUCACAGGGUGCCCAUGGGCGUGGGACCUAUGGUGGACGGGGCAUCGUCCUUGAUUUGUCGGCUGGAAGGGGUAGUGGCGGCCUGGGCUGCGCAGCAUCUUGAGGGGUGCCGGCAUGUGGUGGCC